AUUGAACGCUGGCGGCAUGCUUUACACAUGCAAGUCGAACGGCAGCGCGGGCUUCGGCCUGGCGGCGAGUGGCGAACGGGUGAGUAAUACAUCGGAACGUGCCCAGUAGUGGGGGAUAGCUCGGCGAAAGCCGGAUUAAUACCGCAUACGACCUGAGGGUGAAAGCGGGGGAUCUUCGGACCUCGCGCUAUUGGAGCGGCCGAUGGCAGAUUAGCUAGUUGGUGGGGUAAAGGCCUACCAAGGCGACGAUCUGUAGCUGGUCUGAGAGGACGACCAGCCACACUGGGACUGAGACACGGCCCAGACUCCUACGGGAGGCAGCAGUGGGGAAUUUUGGACAAUGGGCGAAAGCCUGAUCCAGCAAUGCCGCGUGUGUGAUGAAGGCCUUCGGGUUGUAAAGCACUUUUGGCGGGAACGAAAAGGACUGUGCCAAUACCACGGUUCGAUGAUGGUACCCGCAGAAUAAGCACCGGCUAACUACGUG
This 484-nucleotide ribosomal RNA is filed under the name uncultured bacterium. RNAcentral's name for it is "partial 16S ribosomal RNA". It matches the Rfam family "Bacterial small subunit ribosomal RNA", at positions 29 to 507 of the family's 1533-position model. The record is from RNAcentral.